RNAcentral lists this transfer RNA (84 nucleotides) under candidate division Zixibacteria bacterium RBG-1. It matches the Rfam family "tRNA". Rfam says of the family: Transfer RNA (tRNA) molecules are approximately 80 nucleotides in length. Their secondary structure includes four short double-helical elements and three loops (D, anti-codon, and T loops). The record is from Rfam by way of RNAcentral. RNAcentral also lists the same sequence under 2 other names. Lineage: Bacteria; Pseudomonadati; Candidatus Zixiibacteriota.
GCCGGAGUGGUGAAAUUGGUAGACGCGCCGGACUCAAAAUCCGGUGUCCGCAAGGACAUGCCGGUUCGACUCCGGCCUCCGGCA